RNAcentral lists this long non-coding RNA (2770 nucleotides) under Volvox carteri. RNAcentral's name for it is "long non-coding RNA (VCAR_LNC003589)". The record is from RNAcentral. Lineage: Eukaryota; Viridiplantae; Chlorophyta; Chlorophyceae; Chlamydomonadales; Volvocaceae.
CACUUGAUACACAAGAUAUCCCCGAUAACAAAUCUCUUCCCAAGGACAAAAUUACGUACCCUUCGCACACCGCUCUUUUCGCACACGAACACAUCCUAGCAAAAGGCUCCCAACCAGAACAUCAUCCGCAAAUGCUUCUCCUACCAUACUCCAGACGACUUCUUUUCGACCCUGACAUCUUCUCAUCCGAAAACCAAAAAGGUAGUGGGUGGUACUGCUUCGGAGCGGUACCACCCACUACCAUUUUACUAUAAAAAAUGGAACGGGCACGGACCGUCUCUACAGCAAACCACGGGAUCACGUUGAGCUAUGGCGGGGUAGCUCAGCAGCAGCAGCAGCAGCAGCAGCCACGUUAACCAUUAACGUUUUUCGACUCCCGUUACACAGUACUUGCAGCAGCAACCACCUUGGCAACUCCCCCCUCCCUUUAAACUACUUACAAUCCACUCGUAUCGUCAAUCCUACACCAUAACGUAAUUACCAAAACUUCACUUAUCACGGUCUGGUGGAUCUUUCCUAAAAUAUCCCUCGUAUCCCUUAAGACUCUGAAGUCUGAGCUUCACCGUCACACCUUCCUGUAACGACUAUACCCCCUAUCCCCACCUUAUUCCAAACAUCCCUUCACAUUCUGACAUUACGUAAUAACUAACUAACUCUGUAACAAACUCAACCGUCUCACUGCUAUUCUCUUACGAAAGCCUCGGCGAUACCCUUUUUUCUUUUUUCACUUUUUCUUAACUACCAUAUCACCUUUCCAACAACUCGCCAACGGCAAAAGCCAGCAACACAAUAACUCCCAAUCCACUAUAUGCGCCAGGCAUACAGACUAUCUCCCCUCAACCCAACACAAAAAAACCCAACGCCUACAAAAAUAUUCCUUUCAACAAAAGUAUACUACGCCCAAACCGACACUUCGCACCUCCCGCCGGCGAUACAACUCACUCCAGGGAACCACACCCUCUCGCAACGAACACUCGAUUUAAAGAAGCGCGUUUAAUUCUGUUUAAUACAUAUACUGAUAUCUCGUUCACCAUUUAUUCCCAAACUCGCUCAAUCGCGCCUAUAACACCGAACGCCGUCAUACCUAUAGCCACACCUAUAGCCCACACCUUUCACAUCAAAUACCACCACUCUUCAGUAUCCUCAUCUACAACAACUUAUCUUUAUUCCCUAUAAUCCACAAAGACCUACAAUCUUCGCGCGGUGCUAUCUUGCACAACGCCACCGUUCGAACCUCAUCAUCGCCCACCAACAGUAAGUCCUCCCCAGCCGUCCGCCUUUCUUUUUCCUCGCAAAUAAUCCAUCGCAACACAGCUAGUUUUCAAUUCAAACCUCCGUGAUUGCUCGUCGAGUACCCAUAUCUUACAUACCCGCCAUGCCAACUCGUAACUGCUCAUAAACCUCCAAACCAGGCUCCUACACCCACUGCAAUUGACUUUACAACUCACUAUCAUUACGUUUUCCAUUCAGGCUCGUCCUCGCUCACCACUUGACAACCACCAUCGAUUGGACUAAAACCGCUCUGCGAACACCAACUACCACCACCAAACUUCUUCACCACUGGUACAGUUCGCCCACUACGGUCAGUUUACGUUUUCUACAUCUCAGGGGGCUCUUAGCAUAGCAAAGCACCUAAACUUAGCGCAAGAGUCACCUGAUGAGGCCCUGGCAAGGCCGAAACGCGUCGUGACGUGCCUUGCUAAAUUUAGCUUCAGCGACUUUAUUUAGGUCAGCUUGCACUAGCUUAGCAGCCCAUCUAGUUCUCUUCCAAAUACACCCAGUUUUUCUUAUUUCUUUUUUCCACGCACCACACCUAUAAAACUCUCAGCUCGGACCAAACCACUCCCAGCACUUAUAUCUCCUUAACACUCCUUCACCUCAGCCAAAACCCCACCUCUAGAUUUUUACAUCUCUCCUAUACACAAAAACUAUUUUCCAGCCCUCCACACACAACAUCCUUCGAUAAAUUUAUACUCGUCGCUUUUUAUCCCCUCGGUCUAAACCUUCCAAACCUCUCUCACAAAACAUACCUUUUUUCUCAACCCUAGCUAAUCGCCCCUAAAACAAACUCUAUAACACAUACCUCUCCUUCCAGCUUUAGAUUUUCUUUUUUAAAAAAAUUUCCACUAAUCUGACCUUCUAGACUCAUUACUUUAACUUUAACCUUUAACUUUUACUUUUUACCUUUACCUUUAAUCUAUAUCUCCGAUUUUUCUUAAAAGUUUUUCCUGAUCUAAAAAAGUUUUUUAUGAAUUCCUAAAACAUUUUUUAAGAUUUCCAGAACUUAACAAGUAAUUUAGUUUUUUAAAGUUAAAAGUUUCUCUUUUUUACAAAAAAUUAUUAAAGAUUUUUGCACUAACGAAGGGUUGACCUAAGAACCAUCUACCAGCAGCAGCAGCAGCAGCAGCAGCAGCAGCAGCAGCAGCAGCAGCAGCAGCAGCAGCAGCAGCAGCAGCAGCUUCACCUCACAUGCAAUGCUCUCUGUCUGCAACUCUGCGUGGAAUUUCCCACCCAGCAUUGCUCCAAUAUGUGUGUGUAUGUGUAUGUGUGAGGGGGAGGGGGAGGAGGAGGAGGGGAGCUAUCCCGAUGCUCUCUCUCUCCCAAGCUCCCGGGUCCUGUCCGCAGUCUGGCCAUCUGCCACGUCACACACCCCUGUCGCUCUCCCUCAAAUCCCCCGGGACUCCCCCUUCCCCCCAAAAAACACCCCCACCGCCACCCACCAUCAUGUCCCAGGCGGCUGCCAACCACUCCCUCAGCAAGAUCACGUCGU